Long non-coding RNA from Oncorhynchus keta (chum salmon), 1708 nucleotides. RefSeq lists it as uncharacterized. The transcript is spliced from 3 exons. The record is from RefSeq and is a predicted model, not a curated record. NCBI's taxonomy places the organism in Eukaryota, Metazoa, Chordata, Actinopteri, Salmoniformes, Salmonidae.
UGCUCAAUGAGUGACAUGACUGGGAGGAGAGAUAUGCUCAAUGAGUGACAUGACUGGGAGGAGAGAUAUGCUCAAUGAGUGAGUAGAGAUAUGCUCAAUGAGUGACAUGUCUGGGAGUAGAGAUAUGCUCAAUGAGUGACAUGUCUGGGAGUAGAGAUAUGAUCAAUGAGUUGACAUGACUAGUGAGUAGAGAUAUCCUCAAUGAAUUGACAUGUCUUGGAGUAGAGAUAUGCUCAAUGAGUGACAUGUCUGGGAGUAGAGAUAUGCUCAAUGAGUUGACAUGACUGUUGCGUACGCAGGCCAUGGAAGUCUUCAUUUUUAGCUUCUGAGAAUUUUAUAUAAAUCAUUGUGACACGGGGCCUCAUCAUGCUGAAACAUGAGGUGAUGGUGGAGGAUGAAUGGCACGCCAACGGGUCCUCAUCAUGCUGAAACAUGAGGUGAUGGUGGCGGAUGAAUGGCACGCCAACGGGGCCUCAUCAUGCUGAAACAUGAGGUGAUGGUGGAGGAUGAAUGGCACGCCAACGGGUCCUCAUCAUGCUGAAACAGGAGGUGAUGGUGGCGGAUGAAUGGCACGCCAACGGGUCCUCAUCAUGCUGAAACAUGAGGUGAUGGUGGCGGAUGAAUGGCACGCCAACGGGUCCUCAUCAUGCUGAAACAGGAGGUGAUGGUGGCGGAUGAAUGGCACGCCAACGGGUCCUCAUCAUGCUGAAACAGGAGGUGAUGGUGGCGGAUGAAUGGCACGCCAACGGGGCCUCAUCAUGCUGAAACAGGAGGUGAUGGCGGCGGAUGAAUGGCACGCCAACGGGUCCUCAUCAUGCUGAAACAUGAGGUGAUGGUGGAGGAUGAAUGGCACGCCAACGGGUCCUCAUCAUGCUGAAACAGGAGGUGAUGGUGGAGGAUGAAUGGCACGCCAACGGGGCCUCAUCAUGCUGAAACAGGAGGUGAUGGUGGAGGAUGAAUGGCACGCCAACGGGUCCUCAUCAUGCUGAAACAGGAGGUGAUGGCGGCGGAUGAAUGGCACGCCAACGGGGCCUCAUCAUGCUGAAACAGGAGGUGAUGGUGGCGGAUGAAUGGCACGCCAACGGGUCCUCAUCAUGCUGAAACAGGAGGUGAUGGUGGCGGAUGAAUGGCACGCCAACGGGGCCUCAUCAUGCUGAAACAGGAGGUGAUGGUGGCGGAUGAAUGGCACGCCAACGGGUCCUCAUCAUGCUGAAACAGGAGGUGAUGGUGGCGGAUGAAUGGCACGCCAACGGGGCCUCAUCAUGCUGAAACAGGAGGUGAUGGUGGAGGAUGAAUGGCACGCCAACGGGGCCUCAUCAUGCUGAAACAGGAGGUGAUGGUGGAGGAUGAAUGGCACGACAACGGGGCCUCAUCAUGCUGAAACAGGAGGUGAUGGUGGCGGAUGAAUGGCACGCCAACGGGGCCUCAUCAUGCUGAAACAGGAGGUGAUGGCGGCAGAUGAAUGGCACGCCAACGGGUCCUCAUCAUGCUGAAACAGGAGGUGAUGGUGGCGGAUGAAUGGCACGCCAACGGGUCCUCAUCAUGCUGAAACAGGAGGUGAUGGCGGCGGAUGAAUGGCACGCCAACGGGUCCUCAUCAUGCUGAAACAGGAGGUGAUGGUGGCGGAUGAAUGGCACGCCAACGGGUCCUCAUCAUGCUGAAACAGGAGGUGAUGGUGGCGGAUGAAUGGCACGCCAACGGGUCCUCU